UUGCCCUGUUUUUUCCCAUAAUGUGUUGCUUUUAGAAUCCAGACUGAUGAGCAUAUCUGGCUGCUGGAUGAGAAAGAGACUCAGAGCAGCGACCUUUUCUCAUUAAGGGCCUGGAUCAUGCCUGUUUUACCCGAUAUUCCUUCCUGUCCCUGCACAUAUGCUGGUUUGUUUUAACACAGACUACAUGGGAUACACACAGGAGCAUGUGGCUGCCAAUGAAUAUGGGGCUUCUGGCCUGUCAGAUAAAACAGGUAAAUAACAAAUUCUGUAAAGUGUGUUCUUUUUUUUUUUUAAAUAGCAAAGCUGAAGUUGCUUGCUAAAUGUGAGUGAAAUUAAGAACUUAGGUGGAGUGUGCUGAAAUAAGAUUCAUUUGGUUUUACAAAACACAUGAGAUCAUCUGCAGUCAUCUAGGGAUCGUAGAGCUCAACAGUUGGAAACUACUUGGUUGGGUGUGUCCCUAAGUUUUGCAUGUGAAAAGUGAAAAAGAGUGGAAUGUAGACUGCAGUACAAGCUGUAGUCAGGGAUUUCGGAUUCUAACCAUGGUUCUGCUGGUAACCGGUUCCCUCACCUAAAUGAGGGAACUGACUUAAUUUCUCAAGGUAAGUGUUUUUUGGUGAUAAAAAUCAAGGGUUUUGCCAUAUAUCAACAUGAAUCCGCCAAUUGUAAAGUUAAAAAAUAAAAUUAAUUAAAAAAAACA
This 697-nucleotide long non-coding RNA is filed under the name Bos indicus x Bos taurus (hybrid cattle). RNAcentral describes it as "lncRNA (ENSBIXG00000011568.1)". Lineage: Eukaryota; Metazoa; Chordata; Mammalia; Artiodactyla; Bovidae. The record is from RNAcentral.